AAUCAACGCUGGCGGCGUGCCUCAGACAUGCAAGUCGAACGAUUAAAGCUCUCUUCGGAGAGUGCAUAGAGUGGCGCACGGGUGAGUAACACGUAAGUAAUCUACCUUCGAGUGGGGAAUAACGUCCGGAAACGGACGCUAAUACCGCAUAAUGCAGCGGCAUCGUAAGAUGACAGUUGUUAAAGAUUUAUCGCUUGAAGAGGAGCUUGCGGCAGAUUAGCUAGUUGGUAAGGUAAUGGCUUACCAAGGCUAUGAUCUGUAACCGGUCUUAGAGGACGGUCGGUCACACUGACACUGAAUAACGGGUCAGACUCCUACGGGAGGCAGCAGUCGGGAAUUUUGGGCAAUGGGCGAAAGCCUGACCCAGCAACGCCGCGUGAAGGAUGAAGUAUUUCGGUAUGUAAACUUCGAAAGAAUAGGAAGAAUAAAUGACGGUACUAUUUAUAAGGUCCGGCUAACUACGUGCCAGCAGCCGCGGUAAGUCUCGCGUGA
RNAcentral lists this ribosomal RNA (492 nucleotides) under uncultured bacterium. RNAcentral describes it as "bacterial SSU rRNA". It matches the Rfam family "Bacterial small subunit ribosomal RNA", at positions 32 to 533 of the family's 1533-position model. The record is from RNAcentral.